Long non-coding RNA from Molossus molossus (Pallas's mastiff bat), 828 nucleotides. RefSeq lists it as uncharacterized. The record is from RefSeq and is a predicted model, not a curated record. NCBI's taxonomy places the organism in Eukaryota, Metazoa, Chordata, Mammalia, Chiroptera, Molossidae. The transcript has 4 exons.
CCAAAGCAUCGUUCUCAGCAGAAAUGUCACCUCUUCUUGCAAAGUAACGAGCGAUGGCAGGACUCUUGCGGGGCUGGGAGCAGGCAGAAGUGAAGAAUGAUCUCUGCCCGGUUCCCACGAGGUCCAGUGUGGAAUCUUGAGCCGCGAUGCAAAAUCCCAACCCGAAGGGCAACUGCGUGUUUUAACCUGUGACCCCGGUGUCCUUGCCACGCUCACGGACUUCCACCAGCAGGAACCGGCCGGUCGCCGGUCUGACCGGCUCACCUCUGAACCCGGCUCUGUGGUGUCUGAUGGGCUCUCUCCAGCAGUCGAUGACCCAGAGGUAUUCUGACCACAGAGAACGCAGCCUCCAGGAAGGAGCCUCCUCUCAUUUGUAAACGAGAACAGUAUGGCAGCUGGGACUGACGUCCGCCCCUCGGUGUUCCGGUCACUGCCUUCAUCCCACCGACUGGACGAGACGCAGGGGGAGCUCGGCUCAGUGACCCGCGUGGCUGGCGAUGCUGGGAUUGGACUUGGCACUUCAAACGUCCUAAGGAAGUCGUUCUCCAAGGGCACCGAGCAACGGGGCUGAGCUUUAAUCAACGGCAGGCGAGGUCACCAGCUCCGUCUUGUUCAGGAGUUCUCGACCGAGGACGCGACAGGCGAAGUCAGCUGACUGUUCAGGAAGAAGCGAUGAGGGGACCGGAGACCAUGGACACUCCACCUGUGGCCCCACUGGAGCCCUGCCCUCUGCUAACCGUCGGGAGGAAACCGCACACCUGCAGAGGGGGCGUUGCAGCUGCGGGAGCAUCCGGACGACCAGCCUCCAAACCUCUUCCCAGGCGGGUG